Molecule: ribosomal RNA, 397 nt
Filed under: uncultured bacterium
Lineage: Bacteria
Description: bacterial SSU rRNA
Rfam family: Bacterial small subunit ribosomal RNA
Source: RNAcentral
GAAUCUUGCACAAUGGGGGCAACCCUGAUGCAGCGACGCCGCGUGAGUGAUGAAGCCCUUCGGGGUGUAAAGCUCUUUCGGCAGGGACGAUAAUGACGGUACCUGAAGAAGAAGCUGCGGCUAACUACGUGCCAGCAGCCGCGGUAAUACGUAGGCAGCGAGCGUUGUUCGGAGUUACUGGGCGUAAAGGGCUCGUAGGCGGCCAACUAAGUCCGACGUGAAAUCCCCAGGCUUAACCUGGGAACUGCGUCGGAUACUGGAUGGCUUGAAUUCGGGAGAGGGAUGCAGAAUUCCAGGUGUAGCGGUGAAAUGCGUAGAUAUCUGGAGGAAUACCGGUGGCGAAGGCGGCAUCCUGGACCGACAUUGACGCUGAUGAGCGAAAGCUAGGGGAGCAAAC